UCAGGGGAAUUCAGUCAGCACUGUGGGAAUCCGACUGUUGGAGAAGUCCGGGGAGAUACCGUCUGCGGUCGAAAGCCGGAGGGGUCUUGGGAGGGUCAAUCCUGUUAAGAACUUUGGCUGAGGGUAUUUUAUACCCAACACUAUGUAAUAAUCAUGUAAUAGAAUCUUAGAUCUAAAGAUUCUCUGAUUUUAAAAAAUAAAUUUUGAUUUAUUUUAGUCUUCCGC
RNAcentral lists this long non-coding RNA (225 nucleotides) under Elaeis guineensis (African oil palm). RNAcentral's name for it is "long non-coding RNA (EGUI_LNC047582)". The record is from RNAcentral. Lineage: Eukaryota; Viridiplantae; Streptophyta; Magnoliopsida; Arecales; Arecaceae.